AAGUUCUGAGGGUACCCCUCACUCAAGCUCCAGGCGUCAGGAAAAGAACAUUCCACGAAGUCCAUCUGGAAGACGGUCCUUUCCCUGCUGCCCCCAGAAAGAAUACACAGAAUGGUUCCUUCCCCACCUAUUAUCCUUGGGAAAAGAAGUGUCAUUUUACAUUAGAGUCCUCCCAGAACAGCGCCUGCCGCCUUGAUGAUGACGACGAUUGUUAAUUCUGAGAUGGAGUCUUGAUCUAUCACCUAUGCUGGAG
Molecule: long non-coding RNA, 253 nt
Filed under: Homo sapiens (human)
Lineage: Eukaryota; Metazoa; Chordata; Mammalia; Primates; Hominidae
Description: HSALNT0387326
Source: RNAcentral